GACAUUCAAAUUUGGCCAGUGAAA
This 24-nucleotide non-coding RNA is filed under the name Gossypium hirsutum (cotton). The record is from RNAcentral. Lineage: Eukaryota; Viridiplantae; Streptophyta; Magnoliopsida; Malvales; Malvaceae.